This 524-nucleotide long non-coding RNA is filed under the name Ananas comosus (pineapple). RNAcentral describes it as "long non-coding RNA (ACOM_LNC016212)". Lineage: Eukaryota; Viridiplantae; Streptophyta; Magnoliopsida; Poales; Bromeliaceae. The record is from RNAcentral.
UUUUUUAUUUUUUUAUUUUUUAUUUUUCUUCACUUUCUUUUCAUUCUCUGCAUAUUUUCUAUUUAUGGCAUCUUUUCUUUUGUUCUUUACCACAACCGUAGCCACUGCCUCGAAGCGCUAUUCCUUCUCGCUGUCUUCAAAUCUUGCGACACCUUCGUGCCCGUCCACGGAUACUACCUUCGUUAUAGCCUUAGCUCUGUGAUCUGUAUUAUAUUCGAACUUGCAUUGUCGCAGUCCGCAUCGCGGUAUGUGUGGGCAAGGUAGAGAAGAGGCACAUGGCGUCAACAUGAAGGGAGUAGAGAAGAAGGAAGAGGAAGUAGGAAGAGAAAGAGAGAACGGAGUAUCGAAGAGGAGGGUGACGAAGAGAAGGAAAACAAAUGAGAGAGAACGGAGAGAGAAUAAGAAAUAAGAAUAAUUUAAUCAGUUUACUAAAAAUUUAGACUUCAAUUUACAAAACUGAAAAACUAAAUCUUUACAAAAAUUCAAAACAAAUAAUUUUUUUAUACAAAAUUGCCUAUAUAUUC